RNAcentral lists this long non-coding RNA (228 nucleotides) under Elaeis guineensis (African oil palm). Its description in RNAcentral is "long non-coding RNA (EGUI_LNC009641)". Lineage: Eukaryota; Viridiplantae; Streptophyta; Magnoliopsida; Arecales; Arecaceae. The record is from RNAcentral.
UUUGGAAGAGGGACUAAAGCCUCUGUACACUAAUUAAGAUGUGCUCCAAAUAUUGGCUAUCUAUAAGAGAGAGCAAUAUAGUAGUUUAUAUAGAACAUUCAAUCAAUAAGAUUGAUUCGAAUAUAGUAGAGCCACCCCCCACACUUCCAUCUUUCUAAGAUAUUAAUGAGAUAGCUAGGGAGCAGCAAAAGUAGGGGCAGUGGCAGGAGCAAGGGCAGGAUUAGGGGC